UGUACCUACGGGGGGCAGCAGUGAGGAAUAUUGGUCAAUGGACGCAAGUCUGAACCAGCCAUGCCGCGUGCAGGAUGACGGCUCUAUGAGUUGUAAACUGCUUUUGUACGAGGGUAAACCCCGAUACGUGUAUCGGGUUGAAAGUAUCGUACGAAUAAGGAUCGGCUAACUCCGUGCCAGCAGCCGCGGUAAUACGGAGGAUGCGAGCGUUAUCCGGAUUUAUUGGGUUUAAAGGGUGCGUAGGCGGAUUUUUAAGUCAGCGGUAAAAUGUCCGGGCUCAACCCGGGCCGGCCGUUGAAACUGGG
RNAcentral lists this ribosomal RNA (305 nucleotides) under uncultured bacterium. RNAcentral's name for it is "bacterial SSU rRNA". It matches the Rfam family "Bacterial small subunit ribosomal RNA", at positions 334 to 637 of the family's 1533-position model. The record is from RNAcentral.